Molecule: small nuclear RNA, 107 nt
Organism: Myotis myotis
Lineage: Eukaryota; Metazoa; Chordata; Mammalia; Chiroptera; Vespertilionidae
Source: RefSeq, a predicted model, not a curated record
GUGCUCGCUUCAGCAGCACAUAUCCUGAAAUUGGAGCAAUACAGAGAAGAUUAGCAUAGCCCCUGCACAAGGACAACACGCAAAUUCAUGAGGCAUUCCAUAUUAAA